UCCCUGAGACCCUAACUUGUGACGUUUUCCUGUUAUGUGCACGGGUUAGGUUCUUGGGAGCU
Carassius auratus (goldfish) is the source of this 62-nucleotide microRNA precursor. Ensembl annotates it as microRNA 125b-1. Its record names the gene mir125b-1. Lineage: Eukaryota; Metazoa; Chordata; Actinopteri; Cypriniformes; Cyprinidae. The record is from Ensembl.